UGGCUUCUUCAAACGAUUGGGCGCACUCUAAGCUCUUUUCGUUGAAGUUAUCCAUGUAACUGUUGAGAACUUGAACGUGAAAUGAUGGAUUGAGAAUGCGGCGAGACUUUUUCCAGCGUUCGUCUGUAAAUAGUUUCGAAAAGGUGUAGCGAUGACGACCAAUGGACGGACAGUGUACCAGAGACGAUAGAUACCACCAUACUUUCGAACCCAAGUGAAAGCGGAUUUCUCCAGCAGUUCUGAUGGUGAAUGUUGCCCAGCACAGGUAAAGCUUUUGGGCCAGGAAGAACGUUUAUGAGGCGUACGAAGCGGGAUCGACUCCACCUCCAGUAAGAGAUGGUGAGUAAAAAGGCUAGGAACGAGCCUAGGAAUGACGGGUUCCAUCCAAUCCAAGGAAAACUAAACAUAUUUGUUCGCAAUAGCAAACCACAGCACACAGAAAAAGAAAUUUUGUUUACACCUAAUGUCGAAAGACCGUUGUUCUCUUUGAAAGGGGAUUAACUAGUGCCUUUUAUCCGAAUUUCUCAUGCCAAGGGAGAAAAACACCUUUCGAUUUCUACUAGAAAUCUGUACAACGUAAAGAUAGAAAGGUGGAAGGGGAAAACUGGUUGGGCUACUUUGAAAGUUCCUCUUAUGGUAUGUGAUGUGUCAACAUCAGUACGACGUUGGGUAAAAUGUUUUGCACUUUCUAAAUCAAGGUAUUCAUAGCAGAAAAUAGGAUCAAUAAUUUUGAUAACUGGUGUCACAGUAAAAGGACUUUUAGAUAAGUAACACUUGUAUAUUACUACUACUAAAUUAGCUUACAAAAGUUCAAUCAGCUUUCCGUUGCAUAGCAACAGUUUUAUUGAAACCAAAUUUUUGCCACGUAAUAAUUCUGAUGAGUUGACGUUCAUCUGUUUUUAUUAUAAGCUCAGUUUUAUAAUUCACUUCAAAUGAUAAAAAUAACUCAAAUCCACUGUUCGUUUAGUUGAAUCGUUUACAGUUACGUGAAACAUUGGUAUAAAAGAAAACAUAAAAAUUUUGUUUAAAAAGAAAAAUGGGGAAAAAAGUUUAAAAAAAGUCUUCUAAGUUGAAAUUAAACUUAUGAGUCUUCUUCGUAAAAUGCAUAGUUAUCUUUCCCAGAAUGUCAUUGACAACGAAUAGGUACACCCUUUUUACGUUUGCACAACAUGUUCGUCCACUUUCGCUUGCUUACUGCCUCCGUACUUGCGCUUCAACUGUUGAACUGCUUCCAAGAUUAGAUCAAACAAUUGUUGCGAUAAAAAUGGGUUAUGGUGAGACAAAGUCCGGAGUCGUUGAAUGCAACGCAAGACUGGUAAUAAAAGUGUCAUCAUUUCUUGCCUCAAGUUAACAUCUUUCUGAAGAAAACUAAUAAAAUCCUCAGCCUCCGAA
Molecule: long non-coding RNA, 1392 nt
Organism: Daphnia magna
Lineage: Eukaryota; Metazoa; Arthropoda; Branchiopoda; Diplostraca; Daphniidae
Exons: 3
Source: RefSeq, a predicted model, not a curated record